RNAcentral lists this ribosomal RNA (119 nucleotides) under Pteropus alecto (black flying fox). The record is from RNAcentral. Lineage: Eukaryota; Metazoa; Chordata; Mammalia; Chiroptera; Pteropodidae. RNAcentral also lists the same sequence under 1 other name.
GUCUAUGGCCAUGCUACCCUGAACAAGACCGAUCCCAUCUGAUCUCGGAAGCUAAGCAGGGUCUGGCCUGGUUAGUACUUGGAUGGGAGACCACCUAGGAAGAACAGGUGCUGUAGGCG